UCAGUCGACUCCUACGGGGAGGCAGCAUGGGGGAAUAUUGCACAAUGGGGGAAACCCUGAUGCAGCCAUGCCGCGUGUGUGAAGAAGGCUUCGGGUUGUAAAGCACUUUCAGUAGGGAGGAAGGUAGUGUAGUUAACACCUAGCAUUAUUUGACGUUACCUACAGAAGAAGCACCGGCUAACUCCGUGCCAGCAGCCGCGGUAAUACGGAGGGUGCGAGCGUUAAUCGGAAUUACUGGGCGUAAAGCGCAUGCAGGCGGCUUGUUAAGUCAGAUGUGAAAGCCCGGGGCUUAACCUCGGAAUUGCAUUUGAAACUGGCAGGCUAGAGUCUUGUAGAGGGGGGUAGGAAUUUCAGGUGUAGCGGUGAAAUGCGUAGAGAUCUGAAGGAAUACCAGUGGCGAAGGCGGCCCCCCUGGACAAAGACUGACGCUCAGAUGCGAAAGCGUGGGGAGCAAACAGGAUUAGAUACCCCUGGUAG
RNAcentral lists this ribosomal RNA (477 nucleotides) under uncultured bacterium. RNAcentral's name for it is "bacterial SSU rRNA". It matches the Rfam family "Bacterial small subunit ribosomal RNA", at positions 328 to 793 of the family's 1533-position model. The record is from RNAcentral.